Molecule: long non-coding RNA, 1368 nt
Organism: Octopus bimaculoides (California two-spot octopus)
Lineage: Eukaryota; Metazoa; Mollusca; Cephalopoda; Octopoda; Octopodidae
Source: RefSeq, a predicted model, not a curated record
CAGGAUUUUAUUUGGCGUUGAUUUCCCGACAGGCAUCUCGAUUUAUAUCCGUUUUGUUACAAAACAAAUUCGUUUCACUCAAAGAUAAGAGGGGGAAAAAUCGGAGAGAUGAAUAUUUGCUAUUUCAUGUGGUACAACUGGCUGACACCCUAAAGUUGCGCGCGCGCAGUAAGAAGAAUUUGCGCUGUUUUCAUCUGUUUCCGCUCCACCGAUUCAGAGAAUAAAACAAUUAAACUAAUUGCUUGAAAUAACAAUGCCAACAACAACAACAACAACAACAACAACAACCACAACAACAGCAGCAGCAACAACAACGACGACGACGACGACGACGACUUCAGCAACAAACUUUGGACAUUAAGAAAGCAAAACAAGUCAAGAAAAGAAAACACGAGUCAAUGAAUGAGUGAAUGAAUGAGUGAAUGAACGACUGAAUGAAUUUGCAUAAAUGAAAAACCCAGAAUUUUGUUUUAUAUUGUUUUAUUUGUGGAAUAAAAAUUUAAGUAAAAGGUGGAAAUUUAAUCAAGAAUAAUACAGGAUCUAUUGCACAUUUAAAGGACAAGGAGAAUUCUAGAACGAAGAAAGUUUUUAAUAAAAGUAAAAUAAAAUGGAGUCUGAGAAUACUUUAGAAAUGUGCAUUUCCGAUUAUUAUUAUUAUUAUCAUUAUUAUUAUUAUCAUCAUUUUGAAUUGAUGCUACUUUUGGAUUUCCUGGUAUCUGAGCUAGGUAGCAAUCAGCCCCUUUUGUUAUCGUUUUUAGGACACCUAUGACAACAGGUAUUGUUUUAGUCAUGAGGCUCCACAUGUUUUGUCAAUUUCUUUUCCAAGAUCCUUAUACUUGCUCAGAUUUUGAUAGGUUUUGACAGAUACAUUUAUGUCGAUUAAGACAGUUAUAUCAAUGAGGAAGCAUGAUUUUUGUCGGAAUCCUUCAAUAUAAUGUGUGGCCUCUUCGCAUCUAUCUUUCUGUCAGUUGGAAUGGUGAAGUUCCAGAUGAGUGAGAUGUGGUCAUUUUCAAGCACUGGAGGUGGCUCGUGUUCCAAGCAACUUUUAUCACGGGGCAGGACCAUGUUUUUGUAAAUAACCCAGUGAAUAUACUGUGCUGCUCUAUCAUACCUGUUGAGAUACUCUGUCGGUGCAAGCAGACUGCACAUGGAGACAACAUGACUGACGGUUUCAUACACGACCUGUUGGUCUACUGCCGUUUUUCUAUAUGUUGGCCUGGUAGCUCCUUGUAGGUAGGCAUUGCUCUUGAGCCGCUAUGUUAAACCAUUCUGUCCAUUUCACAGAAGGGUAUUAUUAUUAUUAUUAUUAUUAUUAUUAUUAUUAUUAUCACCAUCGUCUUCGUUGUCAUCAUCAUCGUCGUCAUUGUU